This 506-nucleotide ribosomal RNA is filed under the name uncultured bacterium. RNAcentral's name for it is "partial 16S ribosomal RNA". It matches the Rfam family "Bacterial small subunit ribosomal RNA", at positions 28 to 523 of the family's 1533-position model. The record is from RNAcentral.
GAUGAACGCUAGCGGCAGGCCUAAUACAUGCAAGUCGGACGGGAUCUAUCGGAGAGCUUGCUCGAAGAUAGUGAGAGUGGCGCACGGGUGCGUAACGUGUGAGCAACCUACCCAUAUCAGGGGGAUAGCCCGGAGAAAUCCGGAUUAAGACCGCAUAACACUGUGAUUUGGCAUCAUGUUACAGUUAAAUAUUUAUAGGAUAUGGAUGGGCUCGCGUGACAUUAGCUAGUUGGUGAGGUAACGGCUCACCAAGGCGACGAUGUCUAGGGGCUCUGAGAGGAGAAUCCCCCACACUGGUACUGAGACACGGACCAGACUCCUACGGGAGGCAGCAGUAAGGAAUAUUGGUCAAUGGGCGGAAGCCUGAACCAGCCAUGCCGCGUGCAGGACGACUGCCCUAUGGGUUGUAAACUGCUUUUGUCGAGGAAUAAACCUAUCUACGUGUGGAUAGCUGAACGUACUCGAAGAAUAAGGAUCGGCUAACUCCGUGCCAGCAGCCGCCGUAA